RNAcentral lists this ribosomal RNA (151 nucleotides) under uncultured bacterium. Its description in RNAcentral is "partial 16S ribosomal RNA". It matches the Rfam family "Bacterial small subunit ribosomal RNA", at positions 381 to 524 of the family's 1533-position model. The record is from RNAcentral.
GCCUGAUGCAGCCAUGCCGCGUGUAUGAAGAAGGCCUUCGGGUUGUAAAGUACUUUCAGUUGUGAGGAAGGGGGUGUUGUUAAUAGCAACAUCUCUUGACGUUAGCAACAGAAGAAGCACCGGCUAACUCCGUGCCAGCAGCCGCGGUAAU